Molecule: ribosomal RNA, 505 nt
Filed under: uncultured bacterium
Lineage: Bacteria
Description: partial 16S ribosomal RNA
Rfam family: Bacterial small subunit ribosomal RNA
Source: RNAcentral
GACGAAUGCUGGCGGCGUGCCUAAUACAUGCAAGUAGAACGCACAGUUUAUACCGUAGCUUGCUACACCAUAGACUGUGAGUUGCGAACGGGUGAGUAACGCGUAGGUAACCUGCCUGGUAGCGGGGGAUAACUAUUGGAAACGAUAGCUAAUACCGCAUAAUAUUGAUUAUUGCAUGAUAAUUGAUUGAAAGAUGCUAUUGCAUCACUACCAGAUGGACCUGCGUUGUAUUAGCUAGUAGGUGAGGUAACGGCUCACCUAGGCGACGAUACAUAGCCGACCUGAGAGGGUGAUCGGCCACACUGGGACUGAGACACGGCCCAGACUCCUACGGGAGGCAGCAGUAGGGAAUCUUCGGCAAUGGACGAAAGUCUGACCGAGCAACGCCGCGUGAGUGAAGAAGGUUGUCGGAUCGUAAAGCUCUGUUGUAAGAGAAGAACGGGUGUGAGAGUGGAAAGUUCACACUGUGACGGUAUCUUACCAGAAAGGGACGGCUAACUACGUG